Molecule: ribosomal RNA, 381 nt
Filed under: uncultured eukaryote
Lineage: Eukaryota
Description: SSU rRNA
Rfam family: Eukaryotic small subunit ribosomal RNA
Source: RNAcentral
AGCUCCAAUAGCGUAUAUUAAAGUUGUUGUGGUUAAAAAGCUCGUAGUUGGAUCUCAGGUCCCGGCUCGCGGUUCACCUCGCGGUGCUUACUGCCCGUCCGGACCUACCCGCCGGUUCUGUCUUGGUGCUCUUCACUGAGUGUCUCAAUUGGCCGGAACGUUUACUUUGAAAAAAUUAGAGUGUUCAAAGCAGGCGCUUCGCCUGGAUAAUGGUGCAUGGAAUAAUGGAAUAGGACCUCGGUUCUAUUGUGUUGGUUUUCGGAGCUCGAGGUAAUGAUUAAGAGGGACAGACGGGGGCAUUCGUAUUACGGUGUUAGAGGUGAAAUUCUUGGACCGUUUGAAGACAAACUACUGCGAAAGCAUUUGCCAAGAAUGUUUUCA